RNAcentral lists this small nuclear RNA (261 nucleotides) under Jaculus jaculus (lesser Egyptian jerboa). RNAcentral's name for it is "7SK RNA (ENSJJAG00000006581.1)". It matches the Rfam family "7SK RNA", at positions 1 to 265 of the family's 331-position model. From Rfam's summary of the family: 7SK was discovered as an abundant small nuclear RNA in the mid-70s but a possible function has only recently been suggested. Two independent studies have found that 7SK RNA binds the CDK9/cyclin T complex (known as elongation factor P-TEFb). The record is from RNAcentral. Lineage: Eukaryota; Metazoa; Chordata; Mammalia; Rodentia; Dipodidae.
GGCUGUGAGGGUGAUCUACCUGCAACAUCUGUCACCCCAUUGAUCACCAGGGUUGAUUCGGCUGAUCUGGCUGGCCAGGCGGGUGUCACCUUCCUCCCUCACUGCUCCACGUGCCUCCCUCCCAAAGCUGCGUGCUCAGUCGAAGAGGACAACCUUCCCCGAAUACAGGAGGACUGGUCUUCGGUCAGGAGUAUACAAGCAGCUGCGCUCCCCUGCUACAACCUCCAAACAAGCUCCCAAGGGCUGGGAUUAAAGGCGUGU